Molecule: ribosomal RNA, 374 nt
Filed under: uncultured organism
Description: partial 16S ribosomal RNA
Rfam family: Bacterial small subunit ribosomal RNA
Source: RNAcentral
GUAGGGAGCAAACGUUGUCCGGAUUUAUUGGGCGUAAAGGGCUCGUAGGCGGUUCAACAAGUCGGUCGUGGAAACCCGGGGCUCAACCCCGGGACGCCGGUCGAAACUGUUGUGACUAGAGUUCGGUAGAGGUGAGUGGAAUUCUCGGUGUAGCGGUGGAAUGCGCAGAUAUCGAGAGGAACACCAUUAGCGAAGGCGGCUCACUGGGCCGAUACUGACGCUGAGGAGCGAAAGCGUGGGGAGCAAACAGGAUUAGAUACCCUGGUAGUCCACGCCGUAAACGAUGAACACUAGGUGUGGCGGACUGAUUCAUGUCGGCUGCGCCGUAGCUAACGCAUUAAGUGUUCCGCCUGGGGAGUACGGCCGCAAGGCUA